CCAGGGUGUGAAAAAGCCCUGGCUACAUGAGGAGGCACACAUGGAGAAGAACAAGUGCCCAGGGACUAAACCCAGGGCCAACAGCUAACCAGCCAGCCAGCAAUGAGUCAUCCUAGAAGCAGAUCCAACAGCAGCUGAGCUGCCCUCUAAAUGCUUCUUCAUAAAACACUGAUGAAGCUACAAGGCCAGAAUGUUUACAGACCUAGGAGUUGCUUAUGACCUCACCAGCUGAGAACUGUGGGGAUUGAGGAGGUUACACAGGAGGAAGACAAGGAGAAACUGUUACUAAGGGGCAAUCUUCAUUCCCUAGGCUUCAGACUUGAACUUUUGCUAAGACAGGUUCUUCAGUGGACCCUUCAAAUAUCCCGUGGAUAAACACAGCCAAAGGCUUGGCGUCUGUCUUCCUACAGUGUCUGUCCAUUCCACUGUUCUAACUCCUGGGCCAGCUCUACAUUAGAUAAAUGGUCAUUAUUUGAAAAAGAAAAUGUAUUUUCAAGACUUGUAUAACUUGACCUGUUGCCUAUUGGAGCUGGUGUUUCUUCCACCCCACCCUUGUGCUCUCAAGGUAGCUUGCAGGCUUAGUCUAUAAACCAUGAGACCAGAAUGGUUUAUGAGAAACUCAGUAGUUUCUGAGCAAAGCUGACUACUCAUUAGCCCAGCCCAGCAAAUAAAAUUGUGUGUGUGUGUGUGUGUGUGUGUGUGUGUGUGUGUGUGUGUGUGUGCUCAUACACACACACAAGAAGCAUGUCUUUUGAAACCAUGUUGGAACUAACAGACAAGUCCAUCCCUGAAGAAUCAAAAGCUUGCUGUUUCAUCUUGUUCCACGAGCAGCCCAGUCACCUCUUUGGUCAGUAUUAGUGUCCUUCUAUUCUUAUGUGGAAGUCAAUAAAUGGAGCCUUGCCUUGACUGUCUCUGCUCACACCAUGUGCAUGGAGCCUGGCUUGGAGGCACAGGUUUAGAAUAUGAACUACUCAAGGCUGAGGCAAGAGCAUCACAAGGGUCAAGGUCUGCCUGUAGAAAGACCCUAUCUCAGAAAGUCUAAAGAGGGCUGAGGAUAUACUCAGAGCAUGCACACUAUCCAGAAAUGCAAAAAAAAAAAAAUAUUAUGACUUGGUCUCAUUUCUGUUGUUCCCACGCCAUAAAUCCUUCUAUCCAAUCUCAAUUUUAGUCUAUGGUUACUUGACUUGGAUGCUGCAGUGUAUGUACUGAGACAGAACAUCAUGACGGGAGCAUGUGUGAAACAAAGCAGGUCACAUCAGCAGAUGGAAGGCAGGCCUGGGGUAGCAGAAGCAAGAUAAUAGACUUCCUAAAAGCAUGUCCCCAAGGACCUGCUCUCAACAAGGUCCUAAGUUUGCACCAUCUUCUAAUAGUCCAUCCAAGGAUUAAUCCAUAGACUGAUCAAAGCCUUCAUGAUUAAUAUCCUCCCCACAGCUCCACAUUUAUUUAGACAUCAAAUACGUGGCUGGGGAUAACCUUAAACUUUGAUCCUCCUACAUCUACUUCCCGAGUGCUAGGGUUACAGGCAUGUGUCACUAGUUCAUGUGAUGUCAGGGAUCAAAUCCAGGCCUUUGUGCAUGCUAGGCAAACCCUGUACCAACUGAACUUCAUUCCCUGUUUGCAUUUAUUGUCCUUUACAUGCAGCCUCAGUGAUAAAUGGCCCCUUUGGAAGCCCGGCAGUGAAUUAACUAAGCUUUGGGAGCCCACCUGGAGAGCACCUAUAGGAACCCCUAUUGCUCAGAACUGGAGAAGCAGCUGGGAGUGGUGCAGGGCUUUGAUCCCAGCCCUUGGGAGCCAGAGUCUGGUGGUUCUCAGAACUUGAGGCCAGCCUGAUAUGUCUAGUGAGGUCCAGGACAGUAACGGCCACUGUUGUGAGACCCUGUCCAAAACAAACAAAUGAACGAUCAAAGCCCCAGGACCAUAUUCCAAAUGUUUCACACACCAUUGUUGAGUCCACACUCGAGCCCUGGGGAAAUGCUGAGCAGUUGUUAGUCCGGAGGCAUGAUGUGUUUCGUAUCAUUCCUCUGCUUCAGUGUAGACCAUGGACUAAGACUAUGAAAGACAAAGUGUUGAGAGCUGGAAUGAGGGAGGCGAUUGAAGAGAAAGCUGAGAAUAUAAACUAGAGCUGUUUCCUGGGACAAACAGAUGAGCCUUGAACUGAGUGGUGCAGGAGAGAGCAGAAGCAGCUUAACUGGAGUGCCAGAGAUC
Molecule: long non-coding RNA, 2205 nt
Filed under: Cricetulus griseus (Chinese hamster)
Lineage: Eukaryota; Metazoa; Chordata; Mammalia; Rodentia; Cricetidae
Description: lncRNA (ENSCGRG00015042697.1)
Source: RNAcentral